This 253-nucleotide ribosomal RNA is filed under the name uncultured bacterium. Its description in RNAcentral is "partial 16S ribosomal RNA". It matches the Rfam family "Bacterial small subunit ribosomal RNA", at positions 524 to 776 of the family's 1533-position model. The record is from RNAcentral.
UACGUAGGGGGCAAGCGUUAUCCGGAAUUACUGGGUGUAAAGGGAGAGUAGGCGGCAUGGUAAGCCAGAUGUGAAAGCCUUGGGCUUAACCCGAGGAUUGCAUUUGGAACUAUCAAGCUAGAGUACAGGAGAGGUAAGUGGAAUUCCUAGUGUAGCGGUGAAAUGCGUAGAUAUUAGGAAGAACACCAGUGGCGAAGGCGACUUACUGGACUGAAACUGACGCUGAGGCUCGAAAGCGUGGGGAGCGAACAGG